This 253-nucleotide ribosomal RNA is filed under the name uncultured bacterium. Its description in RNAcentral is "partial 16S ribosomal RNA". It matches the Rfam family "Bacterial small subunit ribosomal RNA", at positions 524 to 776 of the family's 1533-position model. The record is from RNAcentral.
UACGGAGGGUGCAAGCGUUAUCCGGAUUCACUGGGUUUAAAGGGUGCGUAGGCGGGCAGGUAAGUCCGUGGUGAAAUCUCUGAGCUUAACUCAGAAACCGCCAUGGAUACUAUUUGUCUUGAAUAUUGUGGAGGUAAGCGGAAUAUGUCAUGUAGCGGUGAAAUGCUUAGAUAUGACAUAGAACACCAAUUGCGAAGGCAGCUUACUACACAGUUAUUGACGCUGAGGCACGAAAGCGUGGGGAUCAAACAGG